Molecule: unclassified non-coding RNA, 808 nt
Filed under: Fouskomenomyces mimiticus
Lineage: Eukaryota; Fungi; Ascomycota; Dothideomycetes; Pleosporales; Amniculicolaceae
Description: Amniculicolaceae sp. VMD-2020a sequence contains ITS1, 5.8S rRNA gene, ITS2
Rfam family: Eukaryotic large subunit ribosomal RNA (bases 447-808)
Source: RNAcentral
ACCGUAGGGGGCUCUUGCCCCUGAAACAGUAACCCUUGUCUAUAAGCACUUUGUUUCCUCGGCAAGCUUGCUUGCCAAUGAGGACUACACCCAACCAUUUUGUAGUAGUAGUAGCCGUAAAUAAACAAAAAUCAAAACUUUCAACAACGGAUCUCUUGGUUCUGGCAUCGAUGAAGAACGCAGCGAAAUGCGAUAAGUAGUGUGAAUUGCAGAAUUCAGUGAAUCAUCGAAUCUUUGAACGCACAUUGCGCCCUGUGGUAUUCCGCAGGGCAUGCCUGUUCGAGCGUCAUUUAAACCCCUCAAGCUCUGCUUGGUGUUGGGCGCUUGUCCUGCCUUUCUGGUAAGGACUCGCCUUAAAUAUAUUGGCAGCCGUCACCCUGGCUUCGAGCGCAGCACAUUUGCGCCUGAUUUCUGGUGACAGUUUUCCAAAAGCCUAUUUUUUUUAUUGACCUCGGAUCAGGUAGGGAUACCCGCUGAACUUAAGCAUAUCAAUAAGCGGAGGAAAAGAAACCAACAGGGAUUGCCCUAGUAACGGCGAGUGAAGCGGCAACAGCUCAAAUUUGAAAUCUGGCUCCUUUGGGGGUCCGAGUUGUAAUUUGUAGAGGGUGCUUUGGUAUUAGCUGUGGUCUAAGACCCUUGGAACAGGGCGUCACAGAGGGUGAGAAUCCCGUAUGUGGCCAGCAGCUCUUGCCUUGUAAAGCCGCUUCGACGAGUCGAGUUGUUUGGGAAUGCAGCUCUAAAUGGGAGGUAAAUUUCUUCUAAAGCUAAAUACUGGCCAGAGACCGAUAGCGCACAAGUAGAGUGAUCG